RNAcentral lists this ribosomal RNA (709 nucleotides) under uncultured archaeon. Its description in RNAcentral is "bacterial SSU rRNA". It matches the Rfam family "Archaeal small subunit ribosomal RNA", at positions 1 to 717 of the family's 1478-position model. The record is from RNAcentral.
UCCGGUUGAUCCUGCCGAGAGGUUACUGCUAUCGAGGUUCGACUAAGCCAUGCGAGUCGAAUGUAGCAAUACAUGGCGUACUGCUCAGUAACACGUGGACAACCUACCCUUAGGUCGGGGAUAAACCCGGGAAACUGGGUAUAAUACCCGAUAGAUCUCGGCUGCUGGAAUGCACCGAGCUCUAAAGCUCCGGCGCCUAAGGAUGGGUCUGCGGCCUAUCAGGUAGUAGUGGGUGUAGCGUACCUACUAGCCUACGACGGGUACGGGUUGUGAGAGCAAGAGCCCGGAGAUGGAUUCUGAGACACGAAUCCAGGCCCUACGGGGUGCAGCAGGCGCGAAAACUUUACAAUGCUGGAAACAGCGAUAAGGGGACCUCGAGUGCCAGGUUACAAAUCUGGCUGUCGUGAUGCCUAAAAAGCAUUGCAUAGCAAGGGCCGGGCAAGACCGGUGCCAGCCGCCGCGGUAACACCGGCGGCUCGAGUGGUAACCGUUAUUAUUGGGUCUAAAGGGUCUGUAGCCGGCCGGAUAAGUCUCUUGGGAAAUCCAGCAGCUUAACUGUUGGGCUUUCAGGAGAUACUGUCUGGCUCGAGGCCGGGAGAGGUGAGAGGUACUUCAGGGGUAGGGGUGAAAUCUUGUAAUCCUUGAAGGACCACCAGUGGCGAAGCGUCUCACCAGAACGGACCUGACGGCAAGGGACGAAAGCUAGGGG